AGUGAACGCUGGCGGUAGGCCUAACACAUGCAAGUCGAACGGCAGCACAGUAAGAGCUUGCUCUUACGGGUGGCGAGUGGCGGACGGGUGAGGAAUACAUCGGAAUCUACUUUUUCGUGGGGGAUAACGUAGGGAAACUUACGCUAAUACCGCAUAUGACCUACGGGUGAAAGCAGGGGAUCUUCGGACCUUGCGCGAUUCAAUUAGCCGAUGUCGGAUUAGCUAGUUGGCGAGGUAAAGGCCCACCAAGGCAACGAUCCGUAGCUGGUCUGAGAGGAUGAUCAGCCACACUGGAACUGAGACACGGUCCAGACUCCUACGGGAGGCAGCAGUGGGGAAUAUUGGACAAUGGGCGCAAGCCUGAUCCAGCCAUACCGCGUGGGUGAAGAAGGCCUUCGGGUUGUAAAGCCCUUUUGUUGGGAAAGAAAAGCAGCAGGUUAAUACCCCGCUGUUCUGACGGUACCCAAAGAAUAAGCACCGGCUAACUUCGUG
Molecule: ribosomal RNA, 492 nt
Filed under: uncultured bacterium
Lineage: Bacteria
Description: partial 16S ribosomal RNA
Rfam family: Bacterial small subunit ribosomal RNA
Source: RNAcentral